GGUUGGAAGACCAAAUUAGGGCUUACCCAUUUUAAUAAGCUCCCAACAAUCAAUUCAUUUUCGUCUUUCCUGCUAUUUGUAUUCUUGGAGGCUCUUUUACAUGGAGGAUUCAUAUUCUUCAUCACCAGCAUGGAGGAAAAUAGCGCAUUUGGAUGGGCGAGUGAGCGCACUGCCAUCCAUGAAGCAUGCUGUUGUCUAAACUACGACACUCCACAUAUUCACUUUCCAAGGUCCUCAUGACUCCAGAGUUUCAAUUCUGCAAUUGCUUUUAAUAUUUUGUUUCUAUAAUUCCAAACUUCCCAUAUUCAACUCAGUAUUUUCGUCUAAGCAAUGAACAUAGGUUUAAUUGGGCAAAAACACAGUUAAGAAAAGUUUAAAGAUGUUUCUUGUCAUUUGAUAUAAAUAGCAAGAUUUCCCUAAUUUACUUA
Cryptomeria japonica (Japanese cedar) is the source of this 428-nucleotide long non-coding RNA. RefSeq lists it as uncharacterized. NCBI's taxonomy places the organism in Eukaryota, Viridiplantae, Streptophyta, Pinopsida, Cupressales, Cupressaceae. The record is from RefSeq and is a predicted model, not a curated record. The transcript is spliced from 2 exons.